RNAcentral lists this ribosomal RNA (636 nucleotides) under uncultured bacterium. RNAcentral's name for it is "bacterial SSU rRNA". It matches the Rfam family "Bacterial small subunit ribosomal RNA", at positions 607 to 1244 of the family's 1533-position model. The record is from RNAcentral.
GCUUAACCGGAGAAGUGCAUCGGAAACUGAUAAACUUGAGUGCAGAAAAGGAUAGUGGAACUUCAUGUGUAGCGGUGAAAUGCGUAGAUAUAUGAAGGAACACCAGUGGCGAAGGCGGCUAUCUGGUCUGUAACUGACGCUGAGGCUCGAAAGCAUGGGUAGCAAACAGGAUUAGAUACCCUGGUAGUCCAUGCCGUAAACGAUGAAUGCUAGGUGUUGGAAGGUUUCCGCCUUUCAGUGCCGCAGCUAACGCAUUAAGCAUUCCGCCUGGGGAGUACGACCGCAAGGUUGAAACUCAAAGGAAUUGACGGGGACCCGCACAAGCGGUGGAGCAUGUGGUUUAAUUCGAUGCUACGCGAAGAACCUUACCAGGACUUGACAUCUUCUGCCAAUCUAGAGAUUAGACGUUCCCUUCGGGGACAGAAUGACAGGUGGUGCAUGGUUGUCGUCAGCUCGUGUCGUGAGAUGUUGGGUUAAGUCCCGCAACGAGCGCAACCCUUGUCUUUAGUUGCCAGCAUUAAGUUGGGCACUCUAGAGGGACUGCCGGUGAUAAACCGGAGGAAGGUGGGGAUGACGUCAAAUCAUCAUGCCCCUUAUGUCCUGGGCUACACACGUGCUACAAUGGGCGAUACAACG